UACAGAGGGGGCUAGCGUUGUUCGGAUUUACUGGGCGUAAAGCGCACGUAGGCGGAUCGUUAAGUCGGGGGUGAAAUCCUGGAGCUCAACUCCAGAACUGCCUUCGAUACUGGCGAUCUUGAGUCCGGAAGAGGUGAGUGGAACUCCUAGUGUAGAGGUGGAAUUCGUAGAUAUUAGGAAGAACACCAGUGGCGAAGGCGGCUCACUGGUCCGGUACUGACGCUGAGGUGCGAAAGCGUGGGGAGCAAACAGG
Molecule: ribosomal RNA, 253 nt
Filed under: uncultured bacterium
Lineage: Bacteria
Description: partial 16S ribosomal RNA
Rfam family: Bacterial small subunit ribosomal RNA
Source: RNAcentral